Molecule: ribosomal RNA, 301 nt
Filed under: uncultured bacterium
Lineage: Bacteria
Description: partial 16S ribosomal RNA
Rfam family: Bacterial small subunit ribosomal RNA
Source: RNAcentral
CAGUAGCCGCGGUAAAACGGAGGGAGCUAGCGUUGUUCGGAAUUACUGGGCGUAAAGCGCGCGUAGGCGGUUACUCAAGUCAGAUGUGAAAUCCCCGAGCUUAACUUGGGAACUGCAUUUGAAACUGGCAAGCUAGAGUCUUGUAGAGGGGGGUAGAAUUCCAGGUGUAGCGGUGAAAUGCGUAGAGAUCUGGAGGAAUACCGGUGGCGAAGGCGGCCCCCUGGACAAAGACUGACGCUCAGGUGCGAAAGCGUGGGGAGCAAACAGGAUUAGAUACCCGCGUAGUCCCUGUCUCUUAUAC